CCUACGGGGGGCUGCAGUCGAGAAUCUUCGGCAAUGGGCGCAAGCCUGACCGAGCGACGCCGCGUGUGGGAUGAAGGCCUUCGGGUUGUAAACCACUGUUAGAGGGGAUGAAAUGCAGGUGGGUUCUCCCAUCUGUUUGACAUAGCCUCAGAGGAAGGACGGGCUAAGUUCGUGCCAGCAGCCGCGGUAAGACGAACCGUCCAAACGUUAUUCGGAAUCACUGGGCUUAAAGGGUGCGUAGGCGGCGCGGCAAGUUGGGUGUGAAAUACCUCGGCUCAACCGAGGAACUGCGCCCAAAACUGCCGUGCUCGAGGAAGAUAGAGGUGAGCGGAACUUAGGGUGGAGCGGUGAAAUGCGUUGAUAUCCUAAGGAACACCGGUGGCGAAAGCGGCUCACUGGAUCUUUUCUGACGCUGAGGCGCGAAAGCUAGGGUAGCGAACGGGCUUAGAUACCCUGGUAGUC
Molecule: ribosomal RNA, 462 nt
Filed under: uncultured Planctomycetaceae bacterium
Lineage: Bacteria; Pseudomonadati; Planctomycetota; Planctomycetia; Planctomycetales; Planctomycetaceae
Description: bacterial SSU rRNA
Rfam family: Bacterial small subunit ribosomal RNA
Source: RNAcentral